UACAGAGGGUGCAAGCGUUAAUCGGAAUUACUGGGCGUAAAGCGCGCGUAGGCGGUUUUUUAAGUCGGAUGUGAAAUCCCUGGGCUCAACCUAGGCACUGCAUCCGAUACUGGGAGACUAGAGUGUGGGAGAGGAAGGUAGAAUUCCAGGUGUAGCGGUGAAAUGCGUAGAGAUCUGGAGGAAUACCGAUGGCGAGGGCAGCCUUCUGGCCUGACACUGACGCUGAGGUGCGAAAGCAUGGGGAGCAAACAGG
RNAcentral lists this ribosomal RNA (253 nucleotides) under uncultured bacterium. RNAcentral describes it as "partial 16S ribosomal RNA". It matches the Rfam family "Bacterial small subunit ribosomal RNA", at positions 524 to 776 of the family's 1533-position model. The record is from RNAcentral.